GUGAGUCAUCGAAUCUUUGAACGCACCUUGCGCUCCUUGGUAUUCCGAGGAGCAUGCCUGUUUGAGUGUCAUUAAAUUCUCAACCCCUUCAGCUUUUGCAAGUUGUAAUGGGGCUUGGAUGUUGGGGGUUUGCGGGCCUUUAUUAUAAUAGAGGUCGGCUCUCCUGAAAUGCAUUAGCGGAACCGUUUGCAGUUCUAUCAUUAGUGUGAUAAUUAUCUACACUGUGAUGAUUGCUCUCUGACUAGUUCAGCUGCUAAUCGUCCACUUGUUGGACAAUACAUAUAAUGAACCUCUUGACCU
This 300-nucleotide unclassified non-coding RNA is filed under the name uncultured Bovista. RNAcentral describes it as "sequence contains 5.8S rRNA gene, ITS2". The stretch from base 1 to 71 matches the Rfam family "5.8S ribosomal RNA", at positions 84 to 154 of the family's 154-position model. Lineage: Eukaryota; Fungi; Basidiomycota; Agaricomycetes; Agaricales; Lycoperdaceae. The record is from RNAcentral.